Molecule: ribosomal RNA, 370 nt
Filed under: uncultured organism
Description: partial 16S ribosomal RNA
Rfam family: Bacterial small subunit ribosomal RNA
Source: RNAcentral
GGAGGAUGCAAGCGUUAUCCGGAUUCAUUGGGUUUAAAGGGUGCGCAGGCGGGGGCAAUAAGUCAGUGGUGAAAUCCUGCGGCUUAACCGUAGAACUGCCAUUGAUACUGUUGCCCUUGAGUAUAGUUGAGGUGGGCGGAAUAUGUAAUGUAGCGGUGAAAUGCAUAGAUAUUACAUAGAACACCAAUUGCGAAGGCAGCUCACUAAGCUAUCACUGACGCUGAGGCACGAAAGCGUGGGGAGCGAACAGGAUUAGAUACCCUGGUAGUCCACGCCGUAAACGAUGAUCACUCGUUGUUGGCAAUAUAUCGUCAGCGACUGAGCGAAAGCAUUAAGUGAUCCACCUGGGGAGUACGAUCGCAAAGAUUGA